UACGUAGGGUCCGAGCGUUGUCCGGAAUUACUGGGCGUAAAGAGCGCGCAGGCGGUCGUUCAAGUCGAGUGUGAAAGCCCCCGGCUCAACUGGGGAGGGUCACUCGAUACUGAUCGACUUGAAGGCAGGAGAGGGAAGCGGAAUUCCCGGUGUAGUGGUGAAAUGCGUAGAUAUCGGGAGGAACACCAGUGGCGAAGGCGGCUUCCUGGCCUGUUCUUGACGCUGAGGCGCGAAAGCUAGGGGAGCAAACGGG
Molecule: ribosomal RNA, 253 nt
Filed under: uncultured bacterium
Lineage: Bacteria
Description: partial 16S ribosomal RNA
Rfam family: Bacterial small subunit ribosomal RNA
Source: RNAcentral